GCGGAUAUAGAUUAAUUGGUAAAUUAAUUGCCUUCCAAGUAAUAGUUAUGAGUUCAAAUCUCAUUAUCCGUA
Molecule: transfer RNA, 72 nt
Filed under: Paravannella minima
Lineage: Eukaryota; Discosea; Flabellinia; Vannellidae
Description: tRNA-Gly
Rfam family: tRNA
About the family: Transfer RNA (tRNA) molecules are approximately 80 nucleotides in length. Their secondary structure includes four short double-helical elements and three loops (D, anti-codon, and T loops).
Source: RNAcentral